GGUGAGGAUAUAGCUACCUUUCUACGAGCCUCUACUUAAUUUUAUAAGAGAGGCUUGUUUUUCCAAGCCCUCUCUCUGUCCUCUUUUGGAUGAAGGGCAGAGCUAUGCCAAAAUUUGGCCAAAAUCCUAAUAUUAAUUUUAUUUAAGUUUUAAUUCUCAUUGUGAACCUUGUGAUUGUGUAUUUAUGGAUUUUUCAUUGUGAAGGAUGGUCAUUAAGUUUUAAAAUAUGUUUCAUUGAGGUAGAUAUCUCCUCGGCCUUUCAAAUAUCCCAUGGGUUUCAAGGGCCUUGGAUUUUCUUCAAUCAAUCACUCAAUUUCUUUUUUUUCAAUGUGAGAUUCUGAAUAGUUGUAGAUUUUUUUGUUAGAUUUUUGAAAAGAUAAGUCUCGCUUGAUUUGGAGUAAGAAGGAAUUUUUGGUGAAUUUUUGAGUUUGAGGGAGUCGACUGCCUUUGCAGUUUGAAUCAAUCGACUUCGGAAAGGCAUUUCUCAGUGCCUGAUGAUUUUCUUUAUUUGAAAUUUUUAGAGCAUCAAUAUUUACAAGCUAAUCUCUGAAAGGAAAAUUUUUUGUUGAAUUUGAAGACAAUCUGAAUUUUUAGUGAAUUUCUAAGUGAAGAGGGUAGGUCACCGCGGUAGUUUGGAUCACUCAACUUCAAAGGAGGAAUUCUCACGACUGAAUCAUUAGAUUGCAACGAAGAUUGUUGGAUAAAAAGCGCCUUCAAGUUAGCUUUGCA
RNAcentral lists this long non-coding RNA (729 nucleotides) under Physcomitrium patens. Its description in RNAcentral is "long non-coding RNA (PPAT_LNC014776)". The record is from RNAcentral. Lineage: Eukaryota; Viridiplantae; Streptophyta; Bryopsida; Funariales; Funariaceae.